CAGCCGCCGCGGUAAUACCGGCGGCCCGAGUGGCGGUCACUAUUAUUGGGCUUAAAGCGUCCGUAGCCGGGUUGGGAAGUCCUCCGGGAAAUCUGGCCGCUUAACGGUCAGAAUGCCGGAGGAUACUCCCAGCCUAGGGAGCGGGAGAGGCCGAGGGGAUUCCCGGAGUAGGGGUGGAAUCCUAUAAUCCCGGGAGGACCACCUGUGGCGAAGGCGCUCGGCUGGAACGCGUCCGACGGUGAGGGACGAAGGCCAGGGGAGCAAACCGGAUUAGAUACCCGGGUAGUCCUGGCUGUAAACGAUGCGGACUUUGUGUCGGACAAGCUAUGAGCUUGUCCGGUGCCGGAGGGAAACCGUUAAGUCCGCCGCCUGGGGAGUACGGCCGCAAGGCUGAAACUUAAAGGAAUUGGCGAG
Molecule: ribosomal RNA, 414 nt
Filed under: uncultured microorganism
Description: bacterial SSU rRNA
Rfam family: Archaeal small subunit ribosomal RNA
Source: RNAcentral